CUCUAUUGUUGUUUAACUACAUAGCAAAUUUUCUGUUGAAAGUUGAAAGAAGAACUGAAUUUGAGCUGUGAAGUGAUAAUUGUCAGCUUUAUGCUUGAAGAUCAGUCCCUGCAGGAUUCCGUACUUCUGCGAUCUGAAAUUGGAAAAAAUCAUCGCAUAUGCAAAAUGUCAGAAAUCAAAAUCAAGAAUUUUUGCCCACAAAAUAACACAAAAAAUCCCUGUGAAAUUCUGAAGGGAUUGGUAGAUGCUCCGUGAAAGACAUUUGUAGAUGAUAUAGCCUGCUGCUUUUAGCCAGGUUCUAUUCAAUUACUGAGGUUAGCUUGGAUUUGGAUUUGCACUAUAACUUUCACCAAAUUCCCAGGUUUUCCAGAAAUCCCGGUUUGGAGGAUUCCUGAUUCCCUGCUGAUUCUAGGAAUCUUCCAAAUCAAAUCAAAAGGUAUUUGUCACAUGCUCCGUAAACAACAGGUGUAGACUAACAGGUGUAGACUAACAGGUGUAGACUAACAGGUGUAGACUAACAGGUGUAGACUAACAGUGAAAUGCUCCGUAAACAACAGGUGUAGACUAACAGGGGAAUGCUCCGUAAACAACAGGUGUAGUAGACCUCACAGUGAAAUGCUGAAUACAACAGGUGUAGUAGACCUUACAGUGAAAUGCUGAAUACAACAGGUGUAGUAGACCGUACAGUGAAAUGCUGAAUACAACAGGUGUAGUAGACCUCACAGUGAAAUGCUGAAUACAACAGGUGUAGUAGACCUCACAGUGAAAUGCUGAAUACAACAGGUGUAGUAGACCUCACAGUGAAAUGCUGAAUACAACAGGUGUAGUAGACCGUACAGUGAAAUGCUGACUGACGGGUCCUUUAGAACAAUGUAGAGAAAAAAUAGAAAAAAAUAAAAAAUAAAUGAGUAACAACUUGUCAGUAUACACUGGGUACCAGGUAAUAACAUGGUUAUAUACACAGGGUACCAGUACUGAGUAGAUGUGCAGGGGUAUGAGGUAAUAACAUGGUUAUAUACACUGGGUACCAGUAUGGAGUCAAUGUGCAGGGUAUGAGGUAAUAACAUGGUUAUAUACACAGGGUACCAGUACUGAGUAGAUGUAGAGGGGUAUGAGGUAAUAACAUGGUUAUAUACACAGGGUACCAGUACUGAGUAGAUGUAGAGGGGUAUGAGGUAAUAACAUGGCUAUAUACACAGGGUACCAGUACUGAGUAGAUAUGCAGGGGUAUGAGGUAAUAACAUGGUUAUAUACACUGGGUACCAGUACUGAGUAGAUAUGCAGGGGUAUGAGGUAAUAACAUGGUUAUAUACACAGGGUACCAGUACUGAGUAGAUGUAGAGGGGUAUGAGGUAAUAACAUGGCUAUAUACACAGGGUACCAGUACUGAGUAGAUAUGCAAGGGUAUGAGGUAAUAACAUGGUUAUAUACACUGGGUACCAGUACUGAGUAGAUAUGCAAGGGUAUGAGGUAAUAACAUGGUUAUAUACACACUAUUUAGCAGUCAACCAGGAUUUCUGGAAAAUGUAGGAAUUUGGUGAAAGCUGAAUUUAGCAACCCUAGCUUGGAUGAAAUACUACAUGCAGACACAGUAACAUGGUUAUAUACACAGGGCACCAGUACUGAUGAAAUACUACAUGCAGACACAGUAACAUGGUUAUAUACACAGGGCACCAGUACUGAUGAAAUACUACAUGCAGACACAGUAACAUGGUUAUAUACACAGGGCACCAGUACUGAUGAAAUACUACAUGCAGACACAGUAACAUGGUUAUAUACACAGGGCACCAGUACUGAUGAAAUACUACAUGCAGA
Long non-coding RNA from Oncorhynchus tshawytscha (Chinook salmon), 1815 nucleotides. The record is from Ensembl. Lineage: Eukaryota; Metazoa; Chordata; Actinopteri; Salmoniformes; Salmonidae.